RNAcentral lists this ribosomal RNA (497 nucleotides) under uncultured bacterium. Its description in RNAcentral is "partial 16S ribosomal RNA". It matches the Rfam family "Bacterial small subunit ribosomal RNA", at positions 28 to 507 of the family's 1533-position model. The record is from RNAcentral.
GACGAACGCUGGCGGCGUGCCUAAUACAUGCAAGUAGAACGCUGAAGAGAGGAGCUUGCUCUUCUUGGAUGAGUUGCGAACGGGUGAGUAACGCGUAGGUAACCUGCCUUGUAGCGGGGGAUAACUAUUGGAAACGAUAGCUAAUACCGCAUAACAAUGGAUGACACAUGUCAUUUAUUUGAAAGGGGCAAUUGCUCCACUACAAGAUGGACCUGCGUUGUAUUAGCUAGUAGGUGAGGUAAUGGCUCACCUAGGCGACGAUACAUAGCCGGCCUGAGAGGGUGGUCGGCCACACUGGGACUGAGACACGGCCCAGACUCCUACGGGAGGCAGCAGUAGGGAAUCUUCGGCAAUGGGGGCAACCCUGAACGAGCAACGCCGCGUGAGUGAAGAAGGGUGUCGGAUCGUAAAGCUCUGUUGUAAGUCGAGAACGGGUAUGAGGGUGGAAAGUUCACGCUGUGACGGUAGCUGAAGAAAAAGCGACGGCUAACUACGUG